UAAAUUUAGUCAUAGCAUUGUAUGGGGCAAAUGUCGGAACAGCGUUUAUCACAGUAUCCUGCUGUUGAGGAUUAGGGGUUAAAGAAUCAAUUGCAAAAAAUAUUUCUUCGAAUAAACUCCUCGGCAUCUCUUGUCUUUGAAAACUUUCAACCUUCGCAUGCUUUUUUUCGUCUCUCUGUUCAGUAGACAAACCUUUUUCAUUCUCAGCUUCACUGUUACGACUUUGGUCUUCAAUUACUUCUGCACUAAUGGGCUCGGAGACGCCAUCUUCUUCAAUCUCUGAUUCGGCAGUGGGUGUUUGAACGUUUGAUGAAUCAUUAGAAGGAAUUUGAGACGAAAUUUCCAUUUCUCGAGCCGCAUGCUUCUUCUUAGCCUUUUUUUGUUUUAAAAUUGCCAAAAUAGUUUGUGGGUCUGUAGCAUCCUCUAUUGAAAUAGGUGCUUUAAGAGAUUCCUCCAAAGCAGUUUGCCUUCUAGCGCGACGUGCUUCACGCCUUUCUUUGGCAGAUACUUUCUUAGCUGUUAUAACUUUAGAACCUUUUUUACCACGCUUUUCGCUGACAAUAUGGAUGUCUGAACCAGUGGUAUCAGGAGUACUUUGAUUGUUGGUGUCCUCAUUGUAACUGACUUCAGACACAACAUCUUGAAUGUUAUCUUCAGAAGUUACCGAAGUACCUUCCAUUUUAAGUUCCGACACCUUUCCUUGAGUUUCAACAACCUCCAUUUCUAACCUUCUAGCUUUGCGACGCUCAGAACUUUUUUCAUCUAACUGCCAUAAUAUUCCAUAUCCCAUAAUGAGGACAGUAGGAGGUAAAUAGUUUUUUUUGGCCCGAAUAGCAAAACUUCCUGUUGGAAGAAUUUCACCUGUUGGAGCAAGUUUCGAUACCUCAUCAAUUCGAACCCACCAUGCACUGAUUACGGUCUUUGAAUCCCAUGCUUUAGAUGAAGCCAAAGCCAAGGAUCCAGCUUGUUGUAGAGUAUUAGGGGGAAUAGGAUCAUGAGGAUUUUUGUUUUUUACAAUAAUUAUCGAAGACUUUGGCAAAUCUGCACAAACAAAGAUAUCACCUGUGUUGCAAUACUUUUGGAAAAGUAAUUCAUUUUGCUGGGCAUCACGGCCUCCCAGAACUAGAUAACCUUCCGAAGAAAUAAACCAAUGAAACUUUUCAAAAAAGAAUGUCUUUCUACCAAGGAGAAUACGUUGUGUAUCUGCAGUAGUAGAGCGCUUCAAAUCCUGUUCAAUCUUGCGUUGGGUGCUUUUCAGGGCUUUUGAGGCUGCCUCCGCAGUCUUUGUUUCUUUAAUUAAAGCUUCUCGACGUAAUUCAUACUGUUUACGCGCAUUUGCAAAGGCGCCAAGAGAUAAAUCCAAUUCAACGGCAAUAAACUUUGACGAAACUUUUCCUUCCUUCACUUUAUUAUCAUCAUCAGAAUCAUCCAAAUCAUCAUCGCUGGUUUCUGAACUUUCAUCAGAAUUAUCUACAGACUCUGGAUUAGGAAGAAAAACGGUAACGGCGUUUUUUAUAAGUUUAAGGGGAAUUUGAAUAGCAGCAGCUACCGGACUUCUUCUUUUUUGAGAUUGAAUUAACUUUUCAAUAUCUAACCAAUCCAUUCCUUGGUUCAACAGAGAGUUAAUGUAUGAGAUAAUAGCCUCAACAAGUUCAGGGUUCAUCUCAAUUGCCUGAGCCCUCAACGCACAAGUAGCUUGGGCAUCUUGUAAACUUUGAAGUUUUCGUGCUUGAUCCUCUUUAGCCGAUUCAAGCCUUCGCUCAGCUGUCGCUAGGCGAUCAUGUGCUCGUUUUUUUAGCUUUUGUGCUUCGAUAGAAGAGAAAAACUCGUCAACGCAUUCGUUAUAGGUUGGAAACUCCAUGCACUUUCUGUUUGCCUGAACGAGCUGUAAAGGCUGAAAAGGGUGAAAAUCUUCGUAUAAUGUAGUACAUUCUUCAGGGUGUUGAGGAUCAGCAGCAUUUGUUAGUGCUUGCUCCAGUGAAAAUAUAUAACCCUUUACUGGGGGCUUAUUAACUGCAGCUAAUAUGGAGUCGGCUUCUUGAAAAGCAGCUAAUAAAUCGUUUUUCUUGGUUUCGUCUGCACAGAGCUGGCAAGCAGGGAAUAGUGGAUCUAAUUUUGAACGCCGAAGACAGUGCUCUAUAAGUGCAUUACCAUAUUCACCUAAUCUUAUAGUCAAUGCUUUUCUAAGAGAAACUGGUUUGGGUACUUUAAUCGGCUUUGUAGAAGAGGAUAGUUGUUGGUCAGGUAAAGGUUCGUUAAUAGAAGUAGGAGAAGCAUAAGCAGUGCUUAUUUCAUCCAAAAGGAUAUUUAAUCGUUCAGCUGUCAUAUGAGGAAUAGUAGACUGAGAUUUAUUGUCAUUAACGAGAUUAUUUUUGUCUAAAUUGUACUUUUGCCCUACGGCAUAAACUUGGUCUUUAUCGAAGGUGACCACUCGUAAAAGAGACAGAAUCUUGUAAUGGCCGUCUAAUAGUAAAACAUUUCCAGCAGCGAAAAAUUCACAAACCAGAUAGUACGUCCAAUC
Molecule: non-coding RNA, 2521 nt
Organism: Schizosaccharomyces pombe (fission yeast)
Lineage: Eukaryota; Fungi; Ascomycota; Schizosaccharomycetes; Schizosaccharomycetales; Schizosaccharomycetaceae
Source: the annotation of a GenBank genome assembly